GGGUGAGUAACGCGUGGGAAUCUACCCAAUUCUACGGAACAACAGUUGGAAACGACUGCUAAUACCGUAUACGCCCUACGGGGGAAAGAUUUAUCGGAAUUGGAUGAGCCCGCGUUGGAUUAGCUAGUUGGUGGGGUAAAGGCCUACCAAGGCGACGAUCCAUAGCUGGUCUGAGAGGAUGAUCAGCCACAUUGGGACUGAGACACGGCCCAAACUCCUACGGGAGGCAGCAGUGGGGAAUAUUGGACAAUGGGCGCAAGCCUGAUCCAGCCAUGCCGCGUGAGUGAUGAAGGUCUUAGGAUUGUAAAGCUCUUUCACCGGAGAAGAUAAUGACGGUAUCCGGAGAAGAAGCCCCGGCUAACUUCGUGCCAGCAGCCGCGGUAAUACGAAGGGGGCUAGCGUUGUUCGGAAUUACUGGGCGUAAAGCGCACGUAGGCGGAUAUUUAAGUCAGGGGUGAAAUCCCAGAGCUCAACUCUGGAACUGCCUCUGAUACUGGGUAUCUUGAGUAUGGAAGAGGUGAGUGGAAUUGCGAGUGUAGAGGUGAAAUUCGUAGAUAUUCGCAGGAACACCAGUGGCGAAGGCGGCUCACUGGUCCAUAACUGACGCUGAGGUGCGAAAGCGUGGGGAGCAAACAGGAUUAGAUACCCU
RNAcentral lists this ribosomal RNA (649 nucleotides) under Rhizobium sp. Its description in RNAcentral is "bacterial SSU rRNA". It matches the Rfam family "Bacterial small subunit ribosomal RNA", at positions 104 to 788 of the family's 1533-position model. Lineage: Bacteria; Pseudomonadati; Pseudomonadota; Alphaproteobacteria; Hyphomicrobiales; Rhizobiaceae. The record is from RNAcentral.